GUCUACGGCCAUAUCACCCUGAACGUGCCCGAUCUCGUUUGAUCUCGGAAGCUAAGCAAGGUCGGGCCUGGUUAGUACUUGGAUGGGAGGAGACCUAUAUGUAAUUAUGUAUU
This 113-nucleotide ribosomal RNA is filed under the name Neogale vison (American mink). Lineage: Eukaryota; Metazoa; Chordata; Mammalia; Carnivora; Mustelidae. The record is from RNAcentral.